This 253-nucleotide ribosomal RNA is filed under the name Parabacteroides merdae. Its description in RNAcentral is "partial 16S ribosomal RNA". It matches the Rfam family "Bacterial small subunit ribosomal RNA", at positions 524 to 776 of the family's 1533-position model. Lineage: Bacteria; Pseudomonadati; Bacteroidota; Bacteroidia; Bacteroidales; Tannerellaceae. The record is from RNAcentral.
UACGGAGGAUGCGAGCGUUAUCCGGAUUUAUUGGGUUUAAAGGGUGCGUAGGUGGUGAUUUAAGUCAGCGGUGAAAGUUUGUGGCUCAACCAUAAAAUUGCCGUUGAAACUGGGUUACUUGAGUGUGUUUGAGGUAGGCGGAAUGCGUGGUGUAGCGGUGAAAUGCAUAGAUAUCACGCAGAACUCCGAUUGCGAAGGCAGCUUACUAAGCCAUAACUGACACUGAAGCACGAAAGCGUGGGGAUCAAACAGG